AGAAAAGGUGUCCAUCAUGUGUGGCACACAUAGGGCAACUUGUUCAGUCUGCACAUGGAAUUGAUAUCAAGAGAUUUCAGAAGCAUAAUUUUUUGGUACUUGGGAAGCUAGUGGUCAUUGAUCCUGACACCUUU
This is a small nuclear RNA of Octodon degus (degu), 134 nucleotides long. The record is from Ensembl. Lineage: Eukaryota; Metazoa; Chordata; Mammalia; Rodentia; Octodontidae.